GACGAACGCUGGCGGCGUGCCUAAUACAUGCAAGUCGAGCGGACGAUUCGAAAGCUUGUUUUUGAAUCGUUAGCGGCGGACGGGCGAGUAACACGUGGGCAACCUGCUCUGUAGACGGGGAUAACACCGAGAAAUCGGUGCCAAUACCGGAUAACACGAAAUGUCGCAUGACGUUUCGUUGAAACGCGCCGCAAGCUGCCGCUACAGGAUGGGCCCGCGGCGCAUUAGCUAGUUGGUGAGGUAACGGCUCACCAAGGCGACGAUGCGUAGCCGACCUGAGAGGGUGAUCGGCCACACUGGGACUGAGACACGGCCCAGACUCCUACGGGAGGCAGCAGUAGGGAAUCUUCCGCAAUGGACGAAAGUCUGACGGAGCAACGCCGCGUGGGCGAAGAAGGCCUUCGGGUCGUAAAGCUCUGUUGUUAGGGAAGAACAAGUACCGUAGUAACUGACGUUACUAUGACGGUACCUAACGAGAAAGCCACGGCUAACUACGUG
RNAcentral lists this ribosomal RNA (498 nucleotides) under uncultured bacterium. Its description in RNAcentral is "partial 16S ribosomal RNA". It matches the Rfam family "Bacterial small subunit ribosomal RNA", at positions 28 to 507 of the family's 1533-position model. The record is from RNAcentral.